GGGGAUUUAGCUCAGUGGUUGCAGUGCCUGCCUCACAAGCAGCAAGGGCCUGAGUUCUAAUCCCCA
RNAcentral lists this transfer RNA (66 nucleotides) under Fukomys damarensis (Damara mole-rat). It matches the Rfam family "tRNA". Rfam says of the family: Transfer RNA (tRNA) molecules are approximately 80 nucleotides in length. Their secondary structure includes four short double-helical elements and three loops (D, anti-codon, and T loops). Further hydrogen bonds mediate the characteristic L-shaped molecular structure. tRNAs have two regions of fundamental functional importance: the anti-codon, which is responsible for specific mRNA codon recognition, and the 3' end, to which the tRNAs corresponding amino acid is attached (by aminoacyl-tRNA synthetases). tRNAs cope with the degeneracy of the genetic code in two manners: having more than one tRNA (with a specific anti-codon) for a particular amino acid; and 'wobble' base-pairing, i.e. permitting non-standard base-pairing at the 3rd anti-codon position. The record is from Rfam by way of RNAcentral. Lineage: Eukaryota; Metazoa; Chordata; Mammalia; Rodentia; Bathyergidae.